Molecule: long non-coding RNA, 2622 nt
Organism: Podarcis muralis (Common wall lizard)
Lineage: Eukaryota; Metazoa; Chordata; Lepidosauria; Squamata; Lacertidae
Source: Ensembl
CCUAAUGUUGAGACGGGAUCUCCUUUCUUGCCAUUUGAAUGCCCUCUGGAGAUUAAGCAGUCCGGCAUCCCGUUCCCCACAGUGGCUAAGCAGAUGCUGUUAGGAAUGGUGACCGUCGUCGAGAGGUGCGCUGCCUCUGAGCGUGAGACUUGCAUUUUGCUAAGAGCUGCUGAUAAGACUCUCAGGGCUUGCUGAACCCACUGAGGAAGAGAAACCUGCAGGAGCUGGUGGCCUUUGCAACGCCUUUCGUAGUUCGUAGUUCCCUGCAACGUUGGCAAGGCGCUGGCCUGCUAGGUCAGCGAGGCGCAGCACCCAGCUCAACGUUAAUCAUUGACCCACAGUGGGGAAUUCCGCCUCUGGAGCGGCCGUCCCCAAGUUGCCCGAAGUAGGGCGAUUUUCCUGACAUCCUUUGGUAGUCGUGAUCUCCAUAUUUGGAAAUGUUUACCCAUGCUCUGAUCUAUUGGAAGGGGAGGGGAGGUGACUCAGGGCCUGGUGGAAGGGAGAUUUGAAUUCCUGCAGGCAGGAGAAGUUUUUCCCCUUCCUUCCUUCUUUCUUUCUUUCUGCCUGCCUGCCUCUCUCCCUCUUCCUUGUGCUUGUGGUCACUCCGGCAGUUUCGCUCACUCCUGGAGCCGCUUCCAAAUUUGUUCCGCUCUGGGACAAGGCGUCCCCUCGGCGAGGGAGAACAGCCCAGCCUCCAGCCCAGUCGGUUCUCCAGAGCUCUCCUCCUGAAAUCGCUUCCCAAGAGACAACAUUCCUUUUUCGACUGUGGGAUCCAGAACUGAGCAGCAGACUCCAGGUAAAUCCUUGCCAGAACUGAAAUCUGCAGUGCUGAUUAACUAUUGCAUCUUCUGAUCUGCAUAAGGAACAGCUAAUACGAUGUAUUGGUUUAAAGGCUUGAGAAACUGGGUUCAAAUCCUCACGCACCCUCAAAAAAUCACCGCCUGAUCUUAGGCCAGUCCUGAUUUUGGGCCAGUCCUGAUUUUGAUCUUGCAGCCUCUCCUACCUCGAAGGGCUGUUGUGAGGCUAAAAGAGGCGAUCCCUCAGAUUCCUGGAGGAAAGGCAGGAUAGAACUGUCAAAGACGGUUGCAUGGGAUUAUUGAGUGUGGACCUCCAUGUCAAACAAAAUUCCUUCCGUUAAAAAAACUGCACAUCAGGGAGAAGGCUGAGAGCAAGAGAACGCAUUUCCCUGACACCCGACUUUUCCGUGUCCUUGCAUCACACGCUACUCUCUCGUUUGCUUUUCGGUCCAAGGUUGAAUGUUUUCGUUUCUGCUGUUCUGGUAGCUUUGUGGCCCUGGCAAAGGUGGUUUGGGGUCAGCAGAGCGGCUUUACAAUGUGUGUGUACACAAAAACCCUCUCCGAAGUGAUGGAGCAUUGAUUUGUUCAAAGGCUUGCCUUUUUCCACGGCUCUUGUUGCCCUUCCUUUGCUACGCUUCUCUCUCUCUUCUUUCGCUCUUUAGUAAAGUAAAUAAUGCAUGCAGGAUGCAAACGAGGGCUGAAAUUUUAGAAGGGCUGACCCAACACAUUACUGCAGAUCAAUCCUUUCGGUUACGCGAAGCACUUCUUUAGAGGAGGAAAGGAACUCUGGUUUCGAGAAAAGCGCUGGGGUUUAUUUUGGGACUCGGUUUAGCUGCUUCUCCCUGCAUCUGGGGCAGAGGGGCGAAGAUUCCUCGUCAACAAACAACAAGCGCCGCUUGUGCCACUGGCCCCAUUCCCUCGCGCUGCCCAAAUUCAUACCUUGGAACCGUUAGGGUGCAAAGCCAGGGGCGCCCCCAACCUUUUUGCUCCUGGUGAGAAUGCAAAGAAGGGAGGGAAUAAUCUGCACCCGGGUCCUGGAAUUGUGCAUGCCACUUCCUGUACUUAGAAUCAUAGAAUCAUAGAGUUGGAAGAGACCCCAAGGGCCAUCGAGUCCAACCCCCUGCCAAGCAGGAAACACCAUCAGAGCACUCCUGACAUAUGGUUGUCAAGCUUCUGCUUAAAGACCUCCAAAGAAGGAGACUCCACCACACUCCUUGGCAGCAAAUUCCACUGUCAAACAGCUCUUACUGUCAGGAAGUUCUUCCUAAUGUUUAGGUGGAAUCUUUUUUCUUGUAGUUUGGAUCCAUUGCUCCGUGUCCGCUUCUCUGGAGCAGCAGAAAACAACCUUUCUCCCUCCUCUAUAUGACAUCCUUUUAUAUAUUUGAACAUGGCUAUCAUAUCACCCCUUAACCUCCUCUUCUCCAGGCUAAACAUGCCUCCCUUAGUCGUUCAUUGCAAACUUUGGUUCCUUCCAUCACUGAGCAUGCCAGCGUCUUUGCAGCGCCUUUCAGGAUGAGACUUUCCUUCCUUGGGUGCAUUUCCAGAAGCCUCCUGAGUUUGCCUGUCUAAUAUAUCCCCAACCUCACUAUCCCUGUACCAAAUUUGGUUUGCAGCAGGGAUGGCUCAUUGUGGAAGGCUGCCUGCCUGGGCUGGCAAAAUACCAGCACCCCAGUCCCCCCUUUUCAUAAAAUUUAUAUAAAAGGUAAAGGGACCCCUGACCAUUAGGUCCAGUCGUGGACGACUCUGGGGUUGUGGCGCUCAUCUCGCUUUACUGGCCGAGGGAGCCGGUGUACAGCUUCCGGGUCAUGUGGCCAGCAUGACUAAG